UGCCAGCCGCCGCGGUAAUACGGAGGGGGCAAGCGUUGUUCGGAAUUACUGGGCGUAAAGGGCGCGUAGGCGGUCAGGCAAGUCGGACGUGAAAUCCCUCGGCUCAACCGAGGAACUGCCUCCGAAACUGCUUGACUUGAGUCCCGGAGAGGGUAGCGGAAUUCCCAGUGUAGCGGUGAAAUGCGUAGAUAUUGGGAGGAACACCGGUGGCGAAGGCGGCUACCUGGACGGGUACUGACGCUGAGGCGCGAAAGCGUGGGGAGCAAACAGGAUUAGAUA
This 279-nucleotide ribosomal RNA is filed under the name uncultured bacterium. RNAcentral's name for it is "partial 16S ribosomal RNA". It matches the Rfam family "Bacterial small subunit ribosomal RNA", at positions 506 to 784 of the family's 1533-position model. The record is from RNAcentral.